GAGGGAGCUCGUGAUGGAGGCCAAGCGGCUGGAGACGGCGGACAACCUCACGGUCAUUGUGGUGUGCUUCGCAUCGGAGAUGGGAUCACAACAGCAGGAGCAGCCCGUGAGGCCCAGGAGCUGCAAGGGCCUGUCGACGGAGGCACUGUGCAACCUGAGGAGCUGGCUGGAGACCGACCACCGCUAGAGGGAGAACCUGAGGAGCUGGCUGGAGACCGACCACCGCUAGAGGGAGAACUUGAGGAGCUGGCUGGAGACCGACCACCGCUAGAGGGCGGCGGCAGCGGCUGCUUGAGUGUGGAGGAGGUUGGGUUCGGGAUGUGUAAAUACUAUGCUGACAACACUGGUUGACGCAUGAUGAGCGCUGGGCCAUUUGUUGAGAGGCGGCUGCGG
This 393-nucleotide long non-coding RNA is filed under the name Sorghum bicolor (sorghum). Its description in RNAcentral is "long non-coding RNA (SBIC_LNC015325)". Lineage: Eukaryota; Viridiplantae; Streptophyta; Magnoliopsida; Poales; Poaceae. The record is from RNAcentral.